This 452-nucleotide ribosomal RNA is filed under the name uncultured organism. RNAcentral's name for it is "partial 16S ribosomal RNA". It matches the Rfam family "Bacterial small subunit ribosomal RNA", at positions 330 to 798 of the family's 1533-position model. The record is from RNAcentral.
CGUACACUCCUGCGGGAGGCAGCAGUGGGGAAUAUUGGACAAUGGGCGCAAGCCUGAUCCAGCCAUGCCGCGUGAGUGAUGAAGGCCCUAGGGUUGUAAAGCUCUUUCACCGGUGAAGAUAAUGACGGUAACCGGAGAAGAAGCCCCGGCUAACUUCGUGCCAGCAGCCGCGGUAAUACGAAGGGGGCUAGCGUUGUUCGGAUUUACUGGGCGUAAAGCGCACGUAGGCGGACUAUUAAGUCAGGGGUGAAAUCCCGGGGCUCAACCCCGGAACUGCCUUUGAUACUGGUAGUCUUGAGUUCGAGAGAGGUGAGUGGAAUUCCGAGUGUAGAGGUGAAAUUCGUAGAUAUUCGGAGGAACACCAGUGGCGAAGGCGGCUCACUGGCUCGAUACUGACGCUGAGGUGCGAAAGCGUGGGGAGCAAACAGGAUUAGAUACCCCGGUAGUCCCAU